This 500-nucleotide ribosomal RNA is filed under the name uncultured bacterium. RNAcentral's name for it is "bacterial SSU rRNA". It matches the Rfam family "Bacterial small subunit ribosomal RNA", at positions 36 to 507 of the family's 1533-position model. The record is from RNAcentral.
AGUGAACGACUAGCGGCGAGGCUUAAUACUAUGCAAGUUGGAGGGCGAGCAUGAUAUACGCGAGUAUAUUGAUGGCGACCGGCGGACGGGUGAGUAAUAGGUAGGAGACCUACCUCAUACGAGGGGGAUAGCAUAGAGAAAUCUGUGGUAAUACCCCAUGAGGUUAUAUGAAUAGAGGCAUAUAAUCAAAGCAUAAGCGAUUAUGCGGUAUGAGAGGGGCCUACUGACCAUUAGCUAGUUGGUGAGGUAAGGGCUCACCAAGGCGAAGAUGGUUAGGGGUUUUGAGAGAGAGACCCCCCACAUUGGAACUGAGAGACGGUCCAGACUCCUACGGGAGGCAGCAGUAGGGAAUAUUGGGCAAUGGGCGAAAGCCUGACCCAGCCAUGCCGCGUGAAGGAAGACGGCCUUAUGGGUUGUAAACUUCUUUACUACGCGAAUAGAGGUUAGUACGAGAUACUAAUAGGAAGGUAGUGUAGUAAAAAGCACCGGCUAACUCCGUG